GGGGACGUGGUGAAAUUGGUAGACACGCAGCAUUAAGGAUGCUGUGGAGAAAUCCUUGGGGGUUCAAGUCCCCCCGUCCCCACCA
RNAcentral lists this transfer RNA (85 nucleotides) under Rickettsiales bacterium. RNAcentral's name for it is "tRNA-Leu". It matches the Rfam family "tRNA". Rfam says of the family: Transfer RNA (tRNA) molecules are approximately 80 nucleotides in length. Their secondary structure includes four short double-helical elements and three loops (D, anti-codon, and T loops). The record is from RNAcentral. Lineage: Bacteria; Pseudomonadati; Pseudomonadota; Alphaproteobacteria; Rickettsiales.